CCCGCUGAACUUAAGCAUAUCAAUAAGCGGAGGAAAAGAAACCAACAGGGAUUGCCUUAGUAACGGCGAGUGAAGCGGCAAAAGCUCAAAUUUGAAAUCUGGCAGUAAUGUCCGAGUUGUAAUUUGAAGAAGGUAACUUUGGUGAUAGCUCUUGCAUAUGUUCCUUGGAACAGGACGUCAUAGAGGGUGAGAAUCCCGUAUAUGGUGAGAUGACAUAUUACUAUGUAAAGUGCCUUCGAAGAGUCGAGUUGUUUGGGAAUGCAGCUCUAAGUGGGUGGUAAAUUCCAUCUAAAGCUAAAUAUUGGCGAGAGACCGAUAGCGAACAAGUACAGUGAUGGAAAGAUGAAAAGAACUUUGAAAAGAGAGUGAAAAAGUACGUGAAAUUGUUGAAAGGGAAGGGCUUGAAAUCAGACUUGGUAUUCAAUGAUCAAUUUUCUUUCGGGGAGAUGCACUCGUUGUUUACUGGGCCAACAUCGAUUUAGACGGUGAGAUAAUGACAGUUGAAUGUGGCUUGCUUCGGUAAGUGUUAUAGCUUCUUGCUGUAUACAUUGGUUGGGACUGAGGAAUUCAGCACGCCGCAAGGCCGGGUUUUUAACCACGUUCGUGCUUAGGAUGCUGGCAUAAUGGCUUUAAUCGACCCGUCUUGAAACACGG
Molecule: ribosomal RNA, 654 nt
Filed under: uncultured fungus
Lineage: Eukaryota; Fungi
Description: eukaryotic LSU rRNA
Rfam family: Eukaryotic large subunit ribosomal RNA
Source: RNAcentral